This 407-nucleotide ribosomal RNA is filed under the name uncultured bacterium. Its description in RNAcentral is "partial 16S ribosomal RNA". It matches the Rfam family "Bacterial small subunit ribosomal RNA", at positions 30 to 526 of the family's 1533-position model. The record is from RNAcentral.
AUUGAACGCUGGCGGCAGGCCUAACACAUGCAAGUCGAGCGGAGCGGCGGACGGGUGUGUAAGGCCUAGGAAUCAGCCUGGCAGUGGGGGACAACGUCCGGAAACGAGCGCUAAUACAUCAUACUAUCAGUUGAGUCUAUGUUGGAUUAGCUAGGUGGUGGGGUAAAGGCCUACCAAGGCUACGAUCCGUACCUGGUCUGAGAGGAUGAACAGUCACACUGGAACUGAGACACGGUCCAGACUCCUAGGGGAGGGAGCAGUGGGGAAUAUUGGACAAUGGGCGAAAGCCUGAUCCAGCCAUGCCGCGUGUGUGAAGAAGGUCUUCGGUUUGUAAAGCACUUUCAGUUGGGAGGCGUUACCCACAGAAUAAGCACCGGCUAACUUCGUGCCAGCAGCCGCGGUAAUAC